This 908-nucleotide ribosomal RNA is filed under the name Ustilago vetiveriae. RNAcentral describes it as "LSU rRNA". It matches the Rfam family "Eukaryotic large subunit ribosomal RNA", at positions 36 to 926 of the family's 3401-position model. The record is from RNAcentral. Lineage: Eukaryota; Fungi; Basidiomycota; Ustilaginomycetes; Ustilaginales; Ustilaginaceae.
UAGCAUAUCAAUAAGCGGAGGAAAAGAAACUAACAAGGAUUCCCCUAGUAACGGCGAGUGAAGAGGGAAGAGCCCAAGAUUGAAAGCUGGCGUCUUCGGCGUCCGCAUUGUAAUCUCAAGAAGUGUUUUCCGCUUCGGACCAUGCCUAAGUCCCUUGGAAAAGGGCAUCAUAGAGGGUGAAAAUCCCGUACAUGGCAUGGAGCGCCCGAAGCUUUGUGAUACGCUUUCUAAGAGUCGAGUUGUUUGGGAAUGCAGCUCAAAAUGGGUGGUAAAUGCCAUCUAAGGCUAAAUAUUGGGGAGAGACCGAUAGCGAACAAGUACAGUGAUGGAAAGAUGAAAAGAACUUUGAAAAGAGAGUUAAACAGUACGUGAAAUUGCCAAAAGGGAAGGGUAGGAGGUCAGAGAUGCGUCUUGGAAUUCAGCCUUGCUUUUGCUUGGUGUUUUUUCCAAGUUGCAGGCCAACGUCGGUUUUGGGCACUGGAGAAUGGUAGGAGGAACGUGGCACCUCUCGGGGUGUGUUAUAGCCUCCUACUGGAUACAGCGACCGAGACCGAGGAACGCAGCGUACUCGUAAGAGCGGGCCUUUUGGCACCUUUACGCUUAGGGCGUUGGCAUAAUGGCCCUCUACCACCCGUCUUGAAACACGGACCAAGGAGUCUAACAUGUAUGCGAGUCUUUGGGUGGCAAACCCAUAGGCGCAAUGAAAGUGAAUUCAGGUGGGAUCCGCAAGGUGCACCAUCGACCGAUCCUCACGUCUUUUAAGUCGUGGAUUUGAGUAAGAGCAUACCUGUUGGGACCCGAAAGAUGGUGAACUAUGCCUGAAUAGGGUGAAGCCAGAGGAAACUCUGGUGGAGGCUCGUAGCGGUUCUGACGUGCAAAUCKAUCGUCAAAUUUGGGUACAGGGGYGA